This 2086-nucleotide long non-coding RNA is filed under the name Vigna radiata. RNAcentral's name for it is "long non-coding RNA (VRAD_LNC017081)". The record is from RNAcentral. Lineage: Eukaryota; Viridiplantae; Streptophyta; Magnoliopsida; Fabales; Fabaceae.
GUCUUAAACCAUCACAUUUUGAGUUAACUUAGGAAGUGACAAGGUGAAUUUGAGUACCAAUCUGUCUUUAACUCAUUUCUGAGUUUGAACACGUUUAAAAUCACUAAUUAAAGUUGCUGAAGUGAUUUAUUUCAAGUUUGGAGCAUUGUGAUUGUGUCUAUUACAGAGGGAUUGGAACUAAACAACCCAAGAGAGGAACCUAGAAGCAGAAAUUAAAAAACAUGUUCAUACAAAUAAACAAACAGAGUUCAUGCAAAAAAAUGAACCUAAGGCAGCAAUAACAAGACUUUGAAACAAUACAAUUAAAUAUCAUUAACUACAUACCUUUUUCAGAUGCUCAACUUCUCCUAAAUUGCAACCCCUCCAAAAUUUGGCACCAACUUCUAAUAAUUGAACACUGGGUCUUCCUCCAAAAACCUACAUUUGCAACAUAUAAUAAUUGAGGCUAAAGAGAAAAAAGGGGCAUGUGUAAAGUUCAAAUUAUUGGUCCCUCGGAAGCAAAUUGCAUAUAUUGAAUUGACUUAAGCACAAGACUUAUUCAAAUUCACUCGUCUAUAUGAACCCAAACAUAGGGAAAAGCUUAUUAAUUAGAUCAACACCGAAUUGCUGAAAAAUAAAAAUAAAAAAAAAAUAUCCCUUCUACACAUCCACUUGCUAUCAUUUUGACUUUAUAGUAAGUCAACCCUAUUNAAAAUACUAUUGCCAGUUUGAAGUUUGAAGCAAGAAGAGAGAACAUAUACAUUCAAAACCCUACCCACUGGUUUGGUUACCAUUUCAUCUACCUAUAUAUAGCCAAACCUUUCGGUUGACAUUUCUUCAACACACCAAAAACAUUUUUNACUUUCGUUUCAGUUUCAAGUCUCACUUUCUUCAUUACUAUUGUUAGUUGGUUGAUGGAUGAAUUUGAGUGCUUGAGAGAUUGGGAUUUANAGGCUAUUGUGAGAGGAAGCAGUGGUGAAGCCACUGCCAUGGACGAUCCCAAUCCUGAUUUUUCUUAUUUCUUCUCUGACCAAGACGAGCUGAUUCAUAGCUUUCCAGAAUUCACAGAAACUACCAGGGUCCUUGAUGAUCUCGAAGAUCUCUACAAACCUUUCUACCCAGUUUUGCACCUUCUUUCACCUCACACCAUCAUUANAACUUCCCUCUCUAUCCCCAUAGAACCCCAACAGGUCAAAGAACUCAAAGCAUCAGAAGAGAAAGUAGCCCUACAUUGCUGAACACAACCAUCCAAAACCUAAUAACAUACCAUUCAUUCCAAUUCNACAAAAUAAUNCUUCAAACAUAACUAACAGCUCAAAGAACUCUAAUAACGUUCAAAACUACACAACAUAUCAUAAAAUUAAAUUCAUCUUCCCUACUUCACAUAUUUUAAACANCAUCAAAGAAAAAUAUAUAACAUUACAUACAUUUAACNACGACAUAUGAAANUCUUCAUCAACCCUUCAUCAGCAAAGUCUUCAUCAUUCAAAAGAUAGAGAACUCACCUCUACGGCAGCGACAAAUCCUACAUGUAUCAGCCCUCCUCGNGCAGCAAAAGCCCCUUCGUUAGAUAGCCNGUAGAUUGGCCUNGUCGCGAUAACAGAAGCACUGGUCAGGCAGGCACACCACCCUCGUCACACCGCGACAGAGACCUCAUCAAGAAACCCCGUCGAAUAGCCCCCUCGCAACAACCUAAUCCUUNGCCUCAACCACCACCCUCCUCACCGNCACUCUCCUNCCACAAUAGAAACCUAACACCCANCUAUCAAACACCAAUUUCACAAAAAUGCAGAAGGGUGGAACGAACAACAGUGGUUAAAUUUGGGGGUUCUGCAUUUCAGAGCAAACGCUAGGGAAGAACACUCAGGAAUUUCGCGAAAAUAACAUCAUGGGAGAGGGAAAUCCCAAACUUUUAUUUCAUUAAGUCUUUGCAACAUACCGACGGUCAUAUUCCUUCGCUACAGUCACUGUGCCAAUACAGACGGCCAAAGCCCCUCGGCAAUGUACACCUAACAUGGCCUUCGGAAAAGCCUUCGGUAAUUAAGAUUUACCGAAGGCCUGCAGGCCGUUCAUAAUCAUCCUUCGGUAAAUUAAAGUUUUCUUGUAG